GUCCCGGUAGCUCAGCAGGAUAGAGCGGCGGUUUCCUAAACCGCAGGUCGGGGGUUCGAGUCCCUUCCGGGACGCCA
RNAcentral lists this transfer RNA (77 nucleotides) under Pseudomonadota bacterium. RNAcentral describes it as "tRNA-Arg". It matches the Rfam family "tRNA". From Rfam's summary of the family: Transfer RNA (tRNA) molecules are approximately 80 nucleotides in length. The record is from RNAcentral. RNAcentral also lists the same sequence under 2 other names. Lineage: Bacteria; Pseudomonadati; Pseudomonadota.